Molecule: long non-coding RNA, 235 nt
Filed under: Elaeis guineensis (African oil palm)
Lineage: Eukaryota; Viridiplantae; Streptophyta; Magnoliopsida; Arecales; Arecaceae
Description: long non-coding RNA (EGUI_LNC029074)
Source: RNAcentral
GCUAUAUUGGCAAAGGGUGCUAGUUGCCCUCCUUUAUUGCGCUUUAAAGUGAUGAUCACUGUAAAACCCUUCUUCCAACGACUCUUUUUAGGUCCUAUUUCCCUUCACAUACUUCCAUAUAUUCCCUUCAGACCUUGCAACAAUCUUGUCCACUUUAAUUAUAUCACAUCCAAUGAUCAUCUCCCUUUCGUUUAUUUGACUCGACAAUGGAUUUCCAAACCCCUAGGAUCCAUUA